This 468-nucleotide ribosomal RNA is filed under the name uncultured bacterium. RNAcentral describes it as "partial 16S ribosomal RNA". It matches the Rfam family "Bacterial small subunit ribosomal RNA", at positions 28 to 507 of the family's 1533-position model. The record is from RNAcentral.
GACGAACGCUGGCGGCGUGCUUAACACAUGCAAGUCGAACGGAAAGGCCCUGCUUUUGUGGGGUGCUCGAGUGGCGAACGGGUGAGUAACACGUGAGUAACCUGCCCUUGACUUUGGGAUAACUUCAGGUAACUGGGGCUAAUACCGGAUAGGAGCUCCUGCUGCAUGGUGGGGGUUGGAUAUUUUCGGCGGUUGGGGAUGGACUCGCGGCUUAUCAGCUUGUUGGUGGGGUAGUGGCUUACCAAGGGUUUGACGGGUAGCCGGCCUGAGAGGGUGACCGGGGACAAGGGGACUAAGAGAGGGACCAGACUCGUACGGGAGGCAACAGUGGGGAGUAUUGCACAGUGGGCGGAAGCCUGAGGCAGAAACGCCGCGUGCGGGAUGACGGCCUUCGGGUUAUGAACCGCUUUCGCCUGUGACGAAGCGUGAGUGACGGUAAUGAGUAAAGAAGCACCGGCUAACUACGUG